This 350-nucleotide unclassified non-coding RNA is filed under the name soil metagenome. RNAcentral describes it as "partial contains 5.8S ribosomal RNA, internal transcribed spacer 2, and large subunit ribosomal RNA". The stretch from base 1 to 119 matches the Rfam family "5.8S ribosomal RNA", at positions 35 to 154 of the family's 154-position model. The record is from RNAcentral.
GAUGAAGAACGUAGCGAAAUGCGAUAAGUAAUGCGAAUUGCAGAAUCCGUGAGUCAUCGAAUCUUUGAACGCACAUUGCGCCCUCUGGUAUUCCGGAGGGCAUGCCUGUUCGAGCGUCAUUAUCACCCCCCAAGCCCGGCUUGUUGUUGGAUGCAGCGCUUAUCCCGCUCCUCCCAAAGAUAAUGACGGCGUCUGCGACGACUCCUGUACACUGAGCUUUCGGGCACGUACACGGCUAGAAGUCCAGACCCGGUCGCCGUCCCCACCCGCGGGGACACCCAUUACCACAAGGUUGACCUCGGAUCAGGUAGGAAUACCCGCUGAACUUAAGCAUAUCAAUAAGCGGAGGA